Molecule: ribosomal RNA, 404 nt
Filed under: uncultured bacterium
Lineage: Bacteria
Description: bacterial SSU rRNA
Rfam family: Bacterial small subunit ribosomal RNA
Source: RNAcentral
UGGGGAAUAUUGGACAAUGGGCGAAAGCCUGAUCCAGCAAUGCCGCGUGUGUGAUGAAGGCCUUCGGGUUGUAAAGCACUUUCGCACGCGACGAUGAUGACGGUAGCGUGAGAAGAAGCCCCGGCUAACUUCGUGCCAGCAGCCGCGGUAAUACGAAGGGGGCUAGCGUUGUUCGGAAUUACUGGGCGUAAAGGGCGCGUAGGCGGCCUGCCAAGUCAGGCGUGAAAGCCCCGGGCUUAACCUGGGAAUUGCGUUUGAGACUGGCAAGCUUGAGUUCGGGAGAGGUGAGUGGAAUUCCCAGUGUAGAGGUGAAAUUCGUAGAUAUUGGGAAGAACACCGGUGGCGAAGGCGGCUCACUGGACCGACACUGACGCUGAGGCGCGAAAGCGUGGGGAGCAAACAGG